CACGAGGUAGGAGAUGCAAGACUUGGUUAAAAGGAUUACGACAACUCAAUUACUAUCCUUAGUUAUUGUCAGUUUAUAGGUGAUUUGUAGUAAUUUAGCUUGAUAGCAGUGAGAAUUGUAUAGCAUGAUUAAAGGAUUAGGAUGUGAUAGUUAGUCUAUACUAUCACAAAAGAACACUCUGUUGUAUAAUUGUUGAUAUUAAUAGAAGCAAUCGUUCAA
RNAcentral lists this long non-coding RNA (219 nucleotides) under Nicotiana benthamiana. RNAcentral's name for it is "long non-coding RNA (NBEN_LNC034340)". The record is from RNAcentral. Lineage: Eukaryota; Viridiplantae; Streptophyta; Magnoliopsida; Solanales; Solanaceae.